Molecule: non-coding RNA, 31 nt
Filed under: Homo sapiens (human)
Lineage: Eukaryota; Metazoa; Chordata; Mammalia; Primates; Hominidae
Source: RNAcentral
UCCCAACCUUUCAGCAGCUUCUACACACCCA